Long non-coding RNA from Acanthochromis polyacanthus (spiny chromis), 3314 nucleotides. RefSeq lists it as uncharacterized. The transcript is spliced from 2 exons. The record is from RefSeq and is a predicted model, not a curated record. Lineage: Eukaryota; Metazoa; Chordata; Actinopteri; Pomacentridae.
GCUUUUUAAAAUGUGCUAUUGUUUAAAUUAGCAUUUAUUUUUUCAUGAUAAAAGAUAAAGAAAGAAAACCUUAUUUUGAAGGCUAUAUCACCAAAGAUCUGUUGUAAUGCUGUGGUGAGCUUUAUGCAGCUUCAUAGACUGUAAAAGGCAGCACCUCAGUUACAUGCUGUAAGCUUCUGUCUCUGUUCCUGUAAAUCAGCAGCCUGAGAAGAUAUAUAACAUGUGAACUCAUGUAGGCUACCCUUUGCAAAAAGAAAUAAAGGAAUCAUGUAAAGCACCAUUCACCAUGUGGAAAAUAAAAUGAUGUAAACGUGGCACAAAUCAUGAGAUCCAGUGUGGACGAUUCAGACCGCUUGCCUGCUGAAACAUGUCAGUAUGACUCCAUUAGCUCCCACCCACACACAUAGGAGGUGUGACUGUCAUGAAUAAUUACUGUACAUUGGCAGAAGUUUAUGAAUCAUGACAGCAGGACAUUCCCACUUACUUAGGAAACGUGCACUUUGCCGUGGACAUUUUGACUUGGUGCACGUACUGCAUAGUGGUGCAAAGCCUAAUGAUCAUGUCUAUGAACCAUUUUUGUGGCUCAAAUCUGAUACAGAAGCACAGUUUUAAUAUAAUUGCAGUAUGAACAAACACAGAUUGUAUUAUCUCGACUGUUUUCUUUCUUUCUUUCCUUCUGGAUAGGAAGAGAAAUGGAGUAGGAGUUAUCUUGAAGAGUUUGUUUGGAAUGUUGUGGAGGUAGAAAGAGUGUCAGGGUGAUGUUCAGUGUUGUUAGUGGUUAUGCUCCACAGGUAGCAUGUGAGCUAGAAGAAAAGGAGAUAUUCUGGAGAUAGUUUGAGGAUGUGAUGUAGAAUACCCCCAGAAUACCCCAGAAGAAAGUGAUGAUUGGUGCAGACUUCAAUGGGCAUGUUGGUGCAGGCAACAGGAGUGACAAGGAAGUGAUGGUUUGGUAUUCAGGAUAGGAACGCAGAAGAACAAAUGGCAGUAGACUUUUCAAUAAGGAUGAAAAUUGGCUGUAAUGAAUACUUUCUUCUAGAAGAGGCAGGGGCAUAGGGUGACCUAUAAGAGUGGAGGUAAGCAAGGCAAGCUUAUUUUAUGUAUAGUACGGGAGCCCAGAUGGACUAGCAUGCACAUUAUAACCAAUAAUAUUAGCAAAUCCAAUUGUAUUAUAUAUAGAAGAUAUAUAGAAUGUCUUCUAUAUUGCGUAUCUGCACUAUAGUGUCAUGUAUUGCUGUGUUUGGUUGCUUACAAGUAUUGACUUACUGUAUUGUCUUUGGAUUCAUUUUGGAUCACCUUUCAUUUGUUUGUUGUUCUUGUUGCUUUAGGCCAGGUCUUGGCUUUUCAAUAAAGGAGGAGGGUCUAUCAUGGAGGAAACCAGCAGAUUUCACAAAUUUUCCAAUUUUACCCCAGAUGCCAUUAGAGUUGCGUAGGCUCUUCUGCUGAGUACACCUGUAGCAUGGAUCAUCCAGAAGACGACAGUGGCUUCUGCAAAAAGGAAAAAGAACAAACCACAAGAAAAGGCCAGCCCUUCCUCUGUGAUUCACUUUGAUGGAAUCGCUCAUGGACCUUUCAAAUUAUUUCAUGAGGACAAAAAUGCAUCAGCCAAAACUGAAAAAUUUAAUGACAUCAAGCAACGCCAUGAAGCAGAGCUAAUAACAUCGAGCCAUCGUGAGCAAGAACAAUGUAGCCUACUUUCUGAGCAGAUCAGCGACAAUUCAUGUUCACCACUGGAAUGGUUACAAACGAUUUACAGGAAACCUGAACCGUCUAAAACUAAAAUCUGAAGCCUCUCAAGAAUUCACAUCUGAGCAAAGAACAUAUGGCAGAUUGUCCAGUGAGAUAGACCAUGGGGUGCAUGGUAGGCCAUCUGGGCUCCUGGACUAAUAGCACAAUUUAUCUACAAGGCAAUUCAAAGUGCUUUACAAUAGCAAAGAAAAUAAAUAACAAAAAAUAUUUAAAAGGUAGACAUUAAAACCAUGUAUUUAAAUCCUAGAAAUAAAACAUAAUUUAAGCAAAAAAAAAAAUCAGUUUUUCAAGAUCCUGCUGAGAAAUAAGUCCUUUAACCCUGGAAAUAUUCUUCAGGUGAUAGUAAGCUGAUUUUGAAGUAGUCCUAAUGUGGUUUUGAAAGGUCAGGUCUAAGUCCACGACUACAUCCAGAUUUCUGACCUGAUCUGUGUGUUUUUUUUUAUUGCAAUAGCUGAAGCUGUUUGCUGGCAUUUACUCACUCCUCUCUUUGUCCAAAAACAACUACCUCAGUUUUGUGCAUGUUUUACUGAAGAAAAUGUAGACACAUCAAUUCACUGAUUUGCUCUAUACGUUUACUCAGGGCCUGUAUGGGACCAUGGUCUCCUGGUGACAUUGAGAUAUACAGCUGUGUGUCGUCAGCAUAAUUAUGGUAAUUUAUUUUUUGUUUCUUAUUAUCUGAGUCAGUUGAAGCAUGUACAUGUUAAACAAAAGAGGUCCCAGGAUGGAGCUUUGGGGAAUUCCACAUAUAAUUUUCUUCUGCUCAGAUUUAGAGUUGCCUACUGACACAAAAUCAUCCCUGUCCUUCAGGUAAGAAACAAACCAAUACAGUACUGUGCCAGAAAGUCCCACCAAGCUCUCCAGUCGGUCAAGUAACAUGCUGUGUAUGACAAUGUCAAACACAGCACUGAGAUCCAACAUUAUAAGGACGGAGAUUCUGCCACGGUCUGUGUUUAAGCAGAUGUCAUUAAACACUUUGACCAAAGCAGUCUCAGUGCUGUGGUGGGCUUUGAAGCCCGACUGGAAAACAUCGUAGCAGCUGGUCAUUGUUAAAAAGCUAUUUAACUGUUCAAAGACAGCCUUUCAAUUACUUUACUAAAAAUAGCAAAUUUGAUAUGGGUCUAUAAUUUUGCAUCAAAGAUUUGCCCAAAUUAUUCUUUUUCAGCAGAGGUUUGAUGACUGCUGUUUUAAGGCCUGAGGGAACCUGCCUGAUAAAAGAGAGGAGUUCACAAUUUGGAUUAGAUCUGAUGCCAUUACCCAUGAAACUGUUUUGAAAAAGGCUGUCGGUAAAAUAUCCAGACAAGGGGAGGAGGAAAUCAGCAUAGUAUGAUAUCCUCCAGGUUUUUGUGACUAAUUGGGUGGAGUUAUGCCAUGUUGUCUGAGUCUCUUUUAAAAUGGACACAACAUGAAUUUUAUAUUUGAGGUGGAUAUAUUGACUGAUUUUCUUUUUUUUUCUGGAAAGAAUGUGGUAAAUUCAUUGCAGGCUGUGGCGGACUGAAGUUCAGGUGUUAAAGUUACUGGAAGGUUUGUUAACAUGUCAACUACAGCAAAUAAAGCAUGUGUAUUACUUU